UCUACAGGACGAAAGGAUUUCCCGGCGGCGGUGCGCUGCUCCGGGAGCGGGGUGGGGCGGGGGUGGACCGCGUGAUAAGGGCCGCCUCACGACGCGCUCCCCGAUGCAAGUGAGUCACGAGCGCGAGAGAUGCGGGCCGGGCCCGGGCCCCAGCAACACCAACAACAACAUCGCCAACAAACAAGAGCAACAUACAAACAGAGAUGCGCUGGCCGCGCUGGCCGCGCCCCACCCCUCGCGGGCCUGCCUCGCGCGGCACGGGUAUCUGGUGUGGUUGUGAGCACAGCCUGGCCGGCCGCAGGGGCAGUAUAGUAGUCGUCCGGCCUACAGACCAGACUUAAAGCACGCAGAUUCCCCGUUGCAAACGGUCGGUUCGCGCGCGGUUCGUCUUGGCCGCGCCCCGUGUGUGUGUGUGUGUCCGUGUGUCCCCGCGACGUGCCCCAGGCCCCCGCCGCCACCGCCGCUCCUCGCCGUCGGCGUCGCACCGCCAUACCGCCGCCGCCACCGUCACCGCCCGGCCUGUCGUUGUGUUGUUGUGCUCCGCUCUCAGUGCGCCGCCGGGCCCCGCCCCGUCUCCACGCCGAGUGUGUCGUCGUCGUCGUCGUCGUGUCCCUGCGACCCGCAGCCCACCGGGCCGACUGUGCUCCCCUGCUUCUUUGGUCCUGCCGUCGUGCCGAGGAGCGGCAGCAGAAGCACUACGUUCGCUACGUGAUUUCGGCCUCCUCCUCGUGGACAGCAGCAGCAGCGCUGUGCCACCCGCCACCGUGUGUCCCCCGCUCAAGGAAGACUCGCGGCGAGCGAGCCCGCGGUCAGGGACAGGCAGAGGACCCAUACUCAUGAG
Molecule: long non-coding RNA, 841 nt
Organism: Frankliniella occidentalis (western flower thrips)
Lineage: Eukaryota; Metazoa; Arthropoda; Insecta; Thysanoptera; Thripidae
Exons: 2
Source: RefSeq, a predicted model, not a curated record